Molecule: transfer RNA, 69 nt
Filed under: Rattus norvegicus (Norway rat)
Lineage: Eukaryota; Metazoa; Chordata; Mammalia; Rodentia; Muridae
Rfam family: tRNA
About the family: Transfer RNA (tRNA) molecules are approximately 80 nucleotides in length. Their secondary structure includes four short double-helical elements and three loops (D, anti-codon, and T loops). Further hydrogen bonds mediate the characteristic L-shaped molecular structure. tRNAs have two regions of fundamental functional importance: the anti-codon, which is responsible for specific mRNA codon recognition, and the 3' end, to which the tRNAs corresponding amino acid is attached (by aminoacyl-tRNA synthetases). tRNAs cope with the degeneracy of the genetic code in two manners: having more than one tRNA (with a specific anti-codon) for a particular amino acid; and 'wobble' base-pairing, i.e. permitting non-standard base-pairing at the 3rd anti-codon position.
Source: Rfam by way of RNAcentral
GGGGAUUUAGCUCAGUGGUAGAGCCCUUGCCUAGCAAGCACAAGGCCCUGGGUUCGUUCCCCAGCUCUG